GAAGCCGGAAUUGCUAGUAAUGGCAGGUCAGCAUACUGCCGUGAAUACGUUCCCGGGCCUUGUACACACCGCCCGUCACACCAUGAGAGUUGGGAAUACCCGAAGCCUGUGAGCUAACGUUAAGAGGCAGCAGUCGAAGGUAGAAUCAAUGAUUGGGGUGAAGUCGUAACAAGGUACC
RNAcentral lists this ribosomal RNA (178 nucleotides) under uncultured bacterium. RNAcentral describes it as "partial 16S ribosomal RNA". It matches the Rfam family "Bacterial small subunit ribosomal RNA", at positions 1322 to 1500 of the family's 1533-position model. The record is from RNAcentral.